AUGUACCUUGCUCAUUUCUACAGUGGUCCUGGCAACGUGCUACAAGCACUGCAAGAGGGAUGCAAGCCCCAAAUGAAGAAACAAGCUCCCCAUCCCUGACAUCUCUCCAUCUCUGACUUUUCCUUUCAAACUUGGUCCAUCAUGCACAGAUGUGCUUUAUUGAGAUCCAUUAGUGCUUGUAGCACAGGUUUGGUUUACAGGGGGUAUGCUUCCGACUCAAGGAAACUCAGAGACUACUGCUUUAUAUGAUCCCUUUGCUCCAAGCAGCAAGAACUCAGCGGAAGCCCUGAGCUAUUGCUUCUGCUGGGACAAGAUACCAUCACUCAGUGGACUGGGAGAUACCACGCCUUUGUGCAAAGCAGCGGCUUUUACAGAGUUGAGAUAAAUGAUAACUUGCUGUGGUGUGAGACAGCCUGCUCUGCGGUGGUUGUACAAACUCAACAAAAGCUGGGAACAGCUCCAGUGAGAUCGCACCCUGAUGAAUCUGUGUAGCACUGAUUAGAAGGUAGCAUGGUGAGAUUUUAAUCAGAAUGGGGUGGCAGAAAAACAAGUUCUCAGCCUGUUGCUAAAGGGAAAGAGGUUAAGAAAAAUCUUACAGUUGCUAGGGCAGAGUGGAGUCUUUGGGAAAUAACACAUGAAACAAUUUCCUGCCCCAUCCUCUUCUCAAGCCUUUGCUUUUGAGGGUGGAGGCAAGGAACUGCAGCAGGAGAGCUGCACUGGGAGUUUCACACUGGAGUGUGAGGGGUGACUGCUCCUGAUAAAAGUAUCAAACAGGGCAUCUUUGAAUGCUGGAUGGGUUUGGGAGGUAUCUACCAAGAUUAGGGUAUCUCCACAGUUGUCCUCCAGCUGAGCAACUUCAUGCUCCAUACCAACAGGUUGGCCUGCGGUAUGGCAGGGACCUGGAGAGGGAAGAUGGAUUGUUUCAAAUCUCUCUAGAAGAGGAGGAUGUGGGGAGGACAAGAAAUAAAUUAGUCUUGUACCAUACAUACAUGAAAGGCACAAAAAUGCCUAUAGUUUACAAUAUAGAGAUCCAUAGAGCCUGGGGACUGAACAUACCUGGCUGAUGCUACUUUCAGCAUAGCCCUGAUGAUAUUCUUUAGGAACUGGACAAUUCUGCAAAGAUUUUGUGAGGAGCCAGGGUAUUUUGGUUUAAUUCCAAGAAAAUCUAAUUGUGUUGGUCUGCCGUGCAUCAUUUGUUCUUGUUCUUUUUGCCUGUCUUAAUGUGUGAUAGGGAACAUUCCUCUUCAUGCUGUCUAGUUGUAUUCAUGAUAGAGAAGGAAAGGAAGGAUAUGAUAGACGUAAGCAAAAAUUUUCAUUUAGGGACUGUGUAUUCAUCCUAUCUGUGGUAAACACAUGUCUUUUACAUGUCUUUCAUUCAUCUUUAGGCGAUUUUAUUAACAUCCUUUAACCUCUCACUACAACAAAAUCAGACCUGAUUAGGACAACUUAAUCCCACACAUGCAUUCUCUCAGUCUAUGGGACAGCUGGAUUCAAACUAGCCCUGAAAGAUAAAUAGAGCUUCUGUAUACCCUACCAAGUGCUAUCCACCUCACUUUCCUGCAGUGACAGUCAGUAGAAGGCAAUAAUACAGCUUACAAUGGUGUAUGUGUCCCGCUAUCAUAAACAUCCAUAAACAUCAUGACCUGCUGUGGGCCAUGACCUGACAUGCUUACAGGAAGCUAUUAGGAAAAGAACUUCUGUAAAGAGAGCAUAUUUCAGCUGAGAACCCCUGUGAGGGAAAAUGGAUGCACUGGACUCGGUCCCUGAAAGUCAGCCUAGCUGUGCCCUAGCAGAGCCAAGUGCCAGACUUUUCCUGGCAGCCUCUCAGCCAUGUGGAAGACAGUAAGGUUGUUCUAUCUAACCUUGUUUAUGGUCCACUGGGACACUGUUUGCUGAUGGGAUAUCUUCUGUCAGUAAAGCUCUGUUUGCUUUGCCUCAUGGCAGUGUCCAUGCACUAUGUUGUCACAAGCCAUGAGGCAGUGGGAUCGCAGUACAUGUUCACUGCAUUUUACCUUUCGUCAGUAAGGAAAGGAUCUGACUAUAUGCCAAAAGGCACAAAGCAAUCAGAUAAUCACAGAAACACCAGAUGCUCACAUAAGCCAUGCUAUUCUGAUGCCACCAGUACUGUGGACUUCCUUAUUCUCAGCUAUGCAAUUUCAGCCUCAACCCUGGUAUCUGGACAACUUGCCCUUAAAUAGGCACAGCCUUCUACCCACAGCUGUGUCAUUUGUUCAGCCCUUGAUUGCUGCUACUAUUUCAAGGAAAUAGGAAUUCACUCAGAUGUAAGCCAACUCUAUUCUAACUGUUUCAGUAAAAUCAGUACAACAAAA
Molecule: long non-coding RNA, 2330 nt
Organism: Strigops habroptila (Kakapo)
Lineage: Eukaryota; Metazoa; Chordata; Aves; Psittaciformes; Psittacidae
Exons: 2
Source: RefSeq, a predicted model, not a curated record